AACGAACGCUGGCGGCGUGGAUAAGACAUGCAAGUCGAACGCUAAUUUGGUUGUAGCAAUACAGUCAAGUUGGAGUGGCGCAAGGGUGCGUAACACGUGGGUAAUUUGCCGUGAAGUUGGGGAUAACUCGCUGAAAGGCGAGCUAAUACCGAAUGUGAAAAUCGAAAGGCAUCUUUUGAUUUUUAAAGUUGGGGACCGUAAGGCCUGACGCUUCUCGAUAAGCCCGCGGCCUAUCAGCUAGUUGGUGAGGUAACGGCUCACCAAGGCUAAGACGGGUAGCUGGUCUGAGAGGACGACCAGUCACACUGGAACUGAGACACGGUCCAGGCACCUACGGGUGGCAGCAGUCGAGAAUUUUUCUCAAUGGGCGAAAGCCUGAAGGAGCGACGCCGCGUGGGGGAUGAAGGGCUUCGGCUCGUAAACCCCUGUCAUUUGCGAACAAACCUUACGAUUGAACAGAUCGUGAGCUGAUUGUAGCGAAAGAGGAAGGGACGGCUAACUCUGUGCCAGCAGCCGCGGUAAUACAGAGGUCCCAAGCGUUGUUCGGAUUCACUGGGCGUAAAGGGUGCGUAGGUGGCAAGGUAAGUUUGAUGUGAAAUCUCCGGGCUUAACCCGGAAACUGCAUUGAAUACUAUCU
This 637-nucleotide ribosomal RNA is filed under the name uncultured bacterium. RNAcentral describes it as "bacterial SSU rRNA". It matches the Rfam family "Bacterial small subunit ribosomal RNA", at positions 28 to 638 of the family's 1533-position model. The record is from RNAcentral.